RNAcentral lists this ribosomal RNA (446 nucleotides) under uncultured bacterium. RNAcentral's name for it is "SSU rRNA". It matches the Rfam family "Bacterial small subunit ribosomal RNA", at positions 26 to 518 of the family's 1533-position model. The record is from RNAcentral.
AGAGCGAACGCUGGCGGCAGGCCUAACACAUGCAAGUCGAGCGCCCGUAGCAAUACGGGAGCGGCAGACGGGAUAGUAACACGUGGGAACGCGCCCUUCGGUUCGGAAUAACUCAGGGAAACUUGAGCUAAUACCGAAUACGCCCUUACGGGGAAAGAUUUAUUGCCGAAGGAACGGCCCGCGUCCGAUUAGCUAGUUGGUGAGGUAAUGGCUCACCAAGGCUACGAUCGGUAGCUGGUCUGAGAGGAUGACCAGCAUCACUGGGACUGAGACACGGCCCAGACUCCUACGGGAGGCAGCAGUGGGGAAUAUUGGACAAUGGGCGAAAGCCUGAUCCAGCCAUGCCGCGUGGAUGAUGAGGCCUUAGGGUUGUAAAGUCCUUUUAACGGGGAAGAUAAUGACGGUACCCGUAGAAUAAGCCCGGCUAACUUCGUGCCAGCAGCCGC